Molecule: non-coding RNA, 29 nt
Filed under: Homo sapiens (human)
Lineage: Eukaryota; Metazoa; Chordata; Mammalia; Primates; Hominidae
Source: RNAcentral
UAACAUGCAUGUUUUGGGGCUUUGGGCUA